Molecule: ribosomal RNA, 428 nt
Filed under: uncultured bacterium
Lineage: Bacteria
Description: bacterial SSU rRNA
Rfam family: Bacterial small subunit ribosomal RNA
Source: RNAcentral
UGGGGAAUCUUGCGCAAUGGACGAAAGUCUGACGCAGCGACGCCGCGUGGGUGAUGAAGGCCUUCGGGUUGUAAAGCCCUGUGGGGAGAGAAGAAUGAACCAUGGCUAAUAUCCAUGGCGAUGACGGUAUCUCCUUAGCAAGCACCGGCUAACUCUGUGCCAGCAGCCGCGGUAAUACAGAGGGUGCAAACGUUGUUCGGAAUUACUGGGCGUAAAGCGUGUGUAGGCGGCACACUAAGUCUGAUGUGAAAGCCCUGGGCUCAACCCGGGAAGUGCAUUGGAUACUGGUGAGCUUGAGUCUUGGAGAGGAUGGUGGAACUCUCGGUGUAGAGGUGAAAUUCGUAGAUAUCGAGAAGAACACCGGUGGCGAAGGCGGCCAUCUGGACAAAGACUGACGCUGAGACACGAAAGCGUGGGGAGCAAACAGG